UCGAAUCCUGCCCGGCAGACGACCGCGAACGUGUUAAACAACUGCCGGAAGUCGGCGGGCGUGGGAAACCCCGCUCGUCGGCUUCCGACCCUAACCGAACUCCCGGCGCGGAAUGCGCCAAGGACUACUCAAAUGGAUUGCCGGCCUACCCCGCGGCUUCCGCGGGGCGAGACGGGCGUCUGAUCGUUUAACCAAAACGACUCUCGGCAACGGAUAUCUAGGCUCUCGCAUCGAUGAAGAACGUAGCGAAAUGCGAUACUUGGUGUGAAUUGCAGAAUCCCGUGAACCAUCGAGUUUUUGAACGCAAGUUGCGCCCGAAGCCAUUAGGCUGAGGGCACGUCUGCCUGGGCGUCACGCAUCGCGUCGCCACCCCCCUGUCCCGAGGACGGACGGGGGUGACGGAUGUUGGCCUCCCGUGCCCCCCCGGCGCGGCCGGCCCAAACGCGAGUCCUCGGCGCGGGACGUCACGACGAGUGGUGGUUGAACUCAUCAACUCGAGAGCCGUCGCAACGAUGCCCGACGAGGAACUCUCCCGACCCUAAGGCUACUACGCUAGCCUUCGACCGCGACCCCAGGUCAGGC
RNAcentral lists this ribosomal RNA (582 nucleotides) under Morinda reticulata. RNAcentral describes it as "eukaryotic LSU rRNA". The stretch from base 199 to 354 matches the Rfam family "5.8S ribosomal RNA". Lineage: Eukaryota; Viridiplantae; Streptophyta; Magnoliopsida; Gentianales; Rubiaceae. The record is from RNAcentral.